RNAcentral lists this ribosomal RNA (2589 nucleotides) under Triticum aestivum (bread wheat). RNAcentral describes it as "partial small subunit ribosomal RNA". The record is from RNAcentral. Lineage: Eukaryota; Viridiplantae; Streptophyta; Magnoliopsida; Poales; Poaceae.
AUGGCGGGGGCGAUGGUGGUGCACGGGCACGGCGGCGGGGGCCGGGACCGGGACCGGGACAGGUCGUCGCCCGGCGGCAGCGGCGCGCCGCAGGUGGACACGGGCAAGUACGUGCGCUACACCCCGGAGCAGGUGGACGCGCUGGAGCGCGUCUACAGCGAGUGCCCCAAGCCCAGCUCGCUGCGCCGGCAGCAGCUCAUACGGGAGUGCCCCAUCCUCAGCAACAUCGAGCCCAAGCAGAUCAAGGUCUGGUUCCAGAACCGCAGGUGCCGCGAGAAGCAACGGAAGGAGGCCUCUCGCCUGCAGACUGUGAACCGGAAGCUGUCUGCGAUGAACAAGCUGCUGAUGGAGGAGAACGACAGGCUGCAGAAGCAGGUGUCCCGUCUCGUCUACGAGAACGGCUACAUGCGGACGCACCUCAAUAAUCCUUCUGUAGCGACUACAGACACGAGCUGUGAGUCUGUUGUUACUAGUGGUCAGCACCAGCAGCAGCAGAACGCAGUAGUUCCGCGUCCGCAAAGGGACGCGAACAACCCAGCAGGUCUACUCGCUAUCGCUGAGGAGACAUUGGCAGAGUUCCUGUCCAAGGCGACCGGAACUGCUGUCGAUUGGGUGCAAAUGGUUGGGAUGAAGCCUGGUCCGGAUUCCAUUGGAAUCAUUGCUGUUUCGCACAAUUGUAGUGGCGUAGCAGCCCGAGCUUGCGGUCUUGUGAGCCUUGAGCCCACAAAGGUUGCCGAGAUCCUCAAGGAUCGCCCCUCUUGGUAUCGUGACUGUCGGUGUGUGGAUGUGCUCCAGAUUAUCCCUACGGGUAAUGGUGGAACUAUUGAGCUUAUCUACAUGCAGACUUAUGCACCGACAACUUUGGCGGCACCGCGUGACUUCUGGAUUCUCCGCUACACUAGCGGUCUUGAAGACGGCAGUCUUGUGAUCUGUGAGAGAUCGUUGACUCAAGCCACUGGCGGUCCAUCAGGACCUAACACUCCAAAUUUUGUCCGAGCCGAGGUGCUACCUAGUGGCUAUUUAAUCCGCCCUUGCGAGGGGGGUGGCUCCAUGAUCCACAUUGUAGAUCAUGUUGAUUUGGAUGCUUGGAGUGUGCCUGAGGUCCUUAGACCACUUUAUGAGUCUCCAAAGAUUCUUGCGCAGAAGAUGACAAUUGCGGCCCUGCGUCACAUUAGGCAGAUUGCGCAUGAAUCAAGUGGAGAGAUGCCCUAUGGAGGGGGGCGCCAGCCAGCAGUUCUAAGAACAUUUAGUCAGAGAUUGAGCAGAGGCUUCAACGACGCUGUUAAUGGAUUUCUGGAUGAUGGCUGGUCACUGAUGAGCAGUGAUGGUGCUGAGGAUGUUACAAUUGCUAUCAACUCAUCUCCAAACAAACUUGCUGUAUCUCAUGUCAACCCCUCCCAGAUGUUUACUGUAAUUGGGGGCGGCGUCUUAUGUGCCAAGGCUUCAAUGUUGCUGCAGAAUGUACCGCCUGCUCUACUAGUACGGUUUCUGAGGGAGCACCGCUCUGAAUGGGCUGAUCCUGGUGUUGAUGCUUAUUCUGCCGCUGCUUUGCGAGCUAGUCCUUAUGCAGUUCCUGGUCUACGAGCGAGUGGGUUUAUGGGCAGUCAGGUUAUAUUGCCACUUGCACAUACCUUAGAGCAUGAAGAGUUCUUGGAGGUUAUUAGACUGGAGGGACACAGUCUGUGUCAUGAUGAAGUUGUUCUAUCAAGAGAUAUGUAUCUUCUGCAGUUAUGCAGCGGUGUUGAUGAGAAUGCUGCUGGUGCAUGUGCACAGCUUGUCUUUGCGCCGAUUGAUGAAUCGUUCGCUGAUGAUGCUCCACUACUACCCUCGGGCUUCCGUGUGAUACCACUUGAUGCCAAGACGGAUGCGCCAUCUGCGACACGUACACUUGACCUUGCAUCCACUCUUGAGGUUGGACCUGGUGGGACUCGUGCUCCCAGCGACGCAUCCAGCACCAGCAACACAAGAUCAGUGCUUACCAUUGCUUUCCAGUUCUCGUAUGAGAACCACCUUCGAGAGAGUGUUGCAGCAAUGGCGAGGCAGUAUGUGAGGACCGUGGUGGCAUCGGUGCAGAGAGUGGCCAUGGCAAUAGCCCCUUCCCGUCCUGGUGGACAGCUUGAAAUGAAGAACCCUCCAGGAUCCCCUGAGGCUCACACGCUUGCGAGGUGGAUCGGCAGGAGCUACAGGUUUCACACCGGGGCGGAACUGCUUUGCAUGGAGUCGCAGAGCGCGGACGCUUCCCUGAAAGCGCUGUGGCAGCACUCGGAUUCAAUCAUGUGCUGUUCCCUGAAGGCUGCUCCGGUGUUCACCUUCGCCAACCAGGCCGGGCUGGACAUGCUGGAGACGACGCUGAUCGCGCUCCAGGACAUCUCGCUCGAGAAGAUCCUUGACGACGACGGCCGCAAGGCGCUGUGCUCCGAGUUCCCCAAGAUCAUGCAGCAGGGUUUCGCGUACCUCCCGGGCGGCGUGUGCGUGUCGAGCAUGGGGCGGCCGGUGUCGUACGAGCAGGCGGUGGCGUGGAAGGUGCUGGGCGACGACGACGCGCCGCACUGCCUCGCCUUCAUGUUCGUCAACUGGUCCUUCGUCUAG